This 513-nucleotide ribosomal RNA is filed under the name uncultured Glomus. RNAcentral describes it as "SSU rRNA". It matches the Rfam family "Eukaryotic small subunit ribosomal RNA", at positions 579 to 1099 of the family's 1831-position model. Lineage: Eukaryota; Fungi; Glomeromycota; Glomeromycetes; Glomerales; Glomeraceae. The record is from RNAcentral.
GUAUUCCGCUCCAUAGCGUAUAUUAAAGUUGUUGCAGUUAAAAAGCUCGUAGUUGAAUUUCGGGAUCAGUUUGUUGGUCGUGCUUCGGUACGUACUGUCAUUACUGGUUUCUACCUUCUGAAGAACCUUGAUGUCAUUAAUUUGGUGUCUUGGGGAAUCAGGACUGUUACUUUGAAAAAAUUAGAGUGUUUAAAGCAAGCAUACGCUUGAAUACAUUAGCAUGGAAUAAUGAAAUAGGACGUUUGAUUCUAUUUUGUUGGUUUCUAGGAUCGACGUAAUGAUUAAUAGGGAUAGUUGGGGGCAUUAGUAUUCAAUUGUCAGAGGUGAAAUUCUUGGAUUUAUUGAAGACUAACUACUGCGAAAGCAUUUGCCAAGGAUGUUUUCAUUAAUCAAGAACGAAAGUUAGGGGAUCGAAGACGAUCAGAUACCGUCGUAGUCUUAACCAUAAACUAUGCCGACUAGGGAUCGGAUGAUGUUAUUUUUAAUGACUCAUUCGGCGCCUUACGGGAAACA